Non-coding RNA from Camellia sinensis, 1108 nucleotides. Lineage: Eukaryota; Viridiplantae; Streptophyta; Magnoliopsida; Ericales; Theaceae. The record is from RefSeq and is a predicted model, not a curated record.
UUGGCGAACGGAUGAGGUAUUAGUUAAAUGCUUAUAUAGAGUUCUUUUGUAGUUUCAACACAUUUUGUGAUGUUAUCUGCUGUGUGUUGGAACUACAAAAGCCUGAUCUGCUGGCAUUGUGUAUCUAGUGACAUGAUUAAAAGUUAUACAAUGGGAACGGGUCUAGUUAUGAUUACAGUUUUUGGGUAUAAUGAUUGUUGCGGUCCUUGUGGAGUUGUUCAUCUUUUGCUUUUGAUUGAUUGUUGAACUCUUUGCGGUCAUGGCAGGUCUAGAACCAGAAGGAUCACAAUUUGAUGGUCGUCAGUAUGAUACCAAAAUGAAUGAGUUACUUUCAGCUGAUGGGCAAGAUUUCUUUACAUCAUAUGAUGAGGUUUAUGAUAGUUUUGACUCUAUGGGUUUGCAAGAGAACCUUCUGCGGGGCAUUUAUGCAUGCGGUUUUGAAAAACCCUCAGCAAUUCAGCAAAGGGGAAUUGUUCCCUUCAUCAAAGGUUUGGAUGUAAUUCAACAGGCUCAGUCUGGAACCGGAAAGACAGCAACUUUUUGCUCCGGUAUCCUUCAACAGCUUGACUAUGGUUUAGUUGAAUGCCAGGCCUUGGUUUUGGCACCUACUUGUGUGCUUGCUCAACAGAUUGAGAAGGUUAUGCGAGCACUUGGAGAGUUUCUUGGCGUGAAGGUACAUGCUUGUGUGGGUGGAACCAGUGUUCGUGAAGACAAGCGCAUUCUAUUGAGUGGGGUUCAUGUUGUUGUUGGCACUGUUGGGCGUGUGUUUGAUAUGCUGAAGAGACAGUCACUUCGUCCUGGUUACAUUAAGAUGUUUGUACUAGAUGACGCAGAUGAAUUGCUUUCUCAUGGUUUCAAGGAUCAGGAGGAUUUGUUUGGUUCAAUUAAAAGGUGAACUGGGCCAGGAAGAUGGUUGAACAGAUAGCGGGUUUAGUAAAGUAGGGAAGAGGGGUUGAUGCAGGAACAUAAUGGGAUCUAUGAUAUAUUCCAGCUCCUCCCUUCAAAAGUUCAGGUUGGUUUAUCCUCAGUUACAAUGCCUCCCAAAGGCCUUGAGAUCACAAGGAAGUUUAUGAACAAACCAGUCAGGAUUCUCGUGAAACGCGAUGAG